Molecule: ribosomal RNA, 497 nt
Filed under: uncultured bacterium
Lineage: Bacteria
Description: partial 16S ribosomal RNA
Rfam family: Bacterial small subunit ribosomal RNA
Source: RNAcentral
GAUGAACGCUGGCGGCGUGCCUAAUACAUGCAAGUCGAGCGAACGGACGAGAAGCUUGCUUUUCUGAUGUUAGCGGCGGACGGGUGAGUAACACGUGGAUAACUUACCUAUAAGACUGGGAUAACUUCGGGAAACCGGAGCUAAUACCGGAUAAUAUUUUGAACCGCAUGGUUCAAAAGUGAAAGACGGUCUUGCUGUCACUUAUAGAUGGAUCCGCGCUGCAUUAGCUAGUUGGUAAGGUAACGGCUUACCAAGGCAACGAUGCAUAGCCGACCUGAGAGGGUGAUCAGCCACACUGGAACUGAGACACGGUCCAGACUCCUACGGGAGGCAGCAGUAGGGAAUCUUCGGCAAUGGGCGAAAGCCUGACGGAGCAACGCCGCGUGAGUGAUGAAGGUCUUCGGAUCGUAAAACUCUGUUAUUAGGGAAGAACAUAUGUGUAAGUAACUGUGCACAUCUUGACGGUACCUAAUCAGAAAGCCACGGCUAACUACGUG